UCCUGGGGAGGAUGAGAAACAACAUACAAAGUCAGUAUCACAUUUAGCAAGGAGGGGUUAUGGGAAAGACCAAGAAUAUUCAGCAUUUGUCAUUUCAUUUGUUUCUGUGGAUUUGAGCUACCAUCUGGAGUCAUUUCCUUAGCCCACGCUCUUUCUUAACUGAAGAAGAUAGAAACAUUGCAGAUAAAGUGAUGAUUUGGAAAAAACGAGAAACCUAAAUUCCCUCCAGACAAUACAUGUCAGAUGAAUGAGAAAAACCCUCAUUGAAAUGGAUUAUUCAGCAUUUAUGACUGAGAGGAUGCUGAGUAGCAACUUGAGCAGCAGAAAGAAAAGAGGCAAAUGGAAAGGAAUAUCAGAAGAAACAGCAAAAAGGGUUCAUGUUGAGAAGUGGAACUCAGGGAUGGAGAACAGAAAUGAUACUUGAACUCUUGUUUUAAUUAAAACCUCUG
Molecule: long non-coding RNA, 449 nt
Organism: Zalophus californianus (California sea lion)
Lineage: Eukaryota; Metazoa; Chordata; Mammalia; Carnivora; Otariidae
Exons: 4
Source: RefSeq, a predicted model, not a curated record